Molecule: ribosomal RNA, 407 nt
Filed under: uncultured bacterium
Lineage: Bacteria
Description: partial 16S ribosomal RNA
Rfam family: Bacterial small subunit ribosomal RNA
Source: RNAcentral
AUUGAACGCUGGCGGCAGGCCUAACACAUGCAAGUCGAACGGAGUGGCGGACGGGUGAGUAAUGUAUGGGAAACUGCCCGAUGGAGGGGGAUAACUACUGGAAACGGUAGCUAAUACCGCAUACUAUCAGAUGAGCCUAGUUCGGAUUAGCUAGUUGGUGUGGUAAAGGCCUACCAAGGCGACGAUCCGUAACUGGUCUGAGAGGAUGAUCAGUCACACUGGAACUGAGACACGGUCCAGACUCCUACGGUAGGCAGCAGUGGGGAAGAUUGGACAAUGGGCGAAAGCCUGAUGCAGCCAUGCCGCGUGUGUGAAGAAGGUCUUCGGAUUGUAAAGUACUUGAAGUUGGGAGGCGUUACCAACAGAAUAAGCACCGGCUAACUGCGUGCCAGCAGCCGCGGUAAUUC